UGUUGUGCCUGAAAUCAUCCCUGGUCUUUGGAAAGGUUGGUGCUUGGUGCCUGAGAUCAUCCCUGGCUCUUUAGUUUGGUUGGUGCAUGGUGCCUGAAAACCUCUUAGGUCUUUGGUUGGGUUGGUGCUCUUUGCCCUAGUUCAUGCCUGUUCUUUGUUUUGGUUGGUGCUCGGUGCUGGAGAUCAUCCCUGGUCUUUGGUUGGAUUGGUGCUUGUGCCUGAGAACCUCUCAGGUCUUUGGUUGGGUUGUUGCUGUACAAUAUUUUGUUAUCAGUGUAGACAAUUUUCUGUCAUUUCUUUUGGUUAUGUGUUGUCUUGUCUUUUUUCACCACAUGGUUUAAUAUUGGCCCUUUGGUAUAUUCCUUUUUUUG
Molecule: long non-coding RNA, 371 nt
Filed under: Mytilus galloprovincialis (Mediterranean mussel)
Lineage: Eukaryota; Metazoa; Mollusca; Bivalvia; Mytilida; Mytilidae
Source: RNAcentral